GCGCCUAUAGCUCAGUUGGAUUAGAGUACAACCCUCCGAAGGUUGGGGUCACGCGUUCAAGUCGCGUUAGGCGCACCA
RNAcentral lists this transfer RNA (78 nucleotides) under bacterium. Its description in RNAcentral is "tRNA-Arg". The record is from RNAcentral.